AGCGAACGCUGGCGGCAGGCCUAACACAUGCAAGUCGAACGAACUCUUCGGAGUUAGUGGCGGACGGGUGAGUAACACGUGGGAACGUGCCUUUUGGUUCGGAAUAACUCAGGGAAACUUGUGCUAAUACCGAAUGCGCCCUUCGGGGGAAAGAUUUAUCGCCAUUAGAGCGGCCCGCGUCUGAUUAGCUAGUUGGUGAGGUAACGGCCCACCAAGGCGACGUUCAGUAGCUGGUCUGAGAGGAUGACCAGCCACACUGGGACUGAGUCACGGCCCAGACUCCUACGGGAGGCAGCAGUGGGGAAUCUUGCGGAAUGGGCGAAAGCCUGACGCAGCCAUGCCGCGUGAAUGAUGAAGGUCUUAGGAUUGUAAAAUUCUUUCACCGGGGACGAUAAUGACGGUACCCGGAGAAGAAGCCCCGGCUAACUUCGUG
Molecule: ribosomal RNA, 433 nt
Filed under: uncultured bacterium
Lineage: Bacteria
Description: partial 16S ribosomal RNA
Rfam family: Bacterial small subunit ribosomal RNA
Source: RNAcentral